GAUGAGUUCCUGCAAACAAGCCCUUCUAAGCUGUCUGGAAGCUCCUAAUUUAUAACAGAGCUUUAUAAAAUGCUUUAUUUUUACUUUUUUCUGUGCUUGGGGUAAGAGUAGUAGACUGGGGACAUCACCUUACUGUCCAGCAGCAUCAGCAACAGUCUUAUAUUGAAAUUUGAAGUCUGCUCUUGGAGAUCAAACUUCUGCAAAAAGAUGAAGCACACCUUCUGUUUCAAAGGACAGCAGGUUAGACCUCUCCUGACAUCCAAACUUUGUGUUUACUGGAGCUGGUGUGUACUUUGAGCUCACGAGUUGUCCUUAAGCUGCUGCAGUUAUUACAGUGGUGUAUUACCUUUCAUUCUACCCACCAAAUCUCUCAUGGCUCAUUUGGCCUGCACUGUGAUGUUCUGUGAGAUUGUUUUCAUUUCUCAGUAACUUAUAUCACAGAGUGUCUCAGGUUUAGCCAUAACUCUAUUUUCACUGACAGGCUCCUCUCUGCUCUUCCUUUUGCAGCUGGCUCUUGAGGAGAGCACUCAUAAAGCAUGGACACUUAGGAUCUCAAUUUAAAGAACCUGCCAAAUUACACCUUCAAAUAGGCAUGAAGGCAGGAUCACACGUUGAAAGCAGGCAGUAGAAUGGUUUAUUUUUACAAACAGAGAUAGACCAGGAGGGUCACUUUCAUGUAUAAUAGUAGGACUUCU
This 695-nucleotide long non-coding RNA is filed under the name Zonotrichia albicollis (white-throated sparrow). Its description in RNAcentral is "lncRNA (ENSZALG00000004410.1)". Lineage: Eukaryota; Metazoa; Chordata; Aves; Passeriformes; Passerellidae. The record is from RNAcentral.